This 1546-nucleotide long non-coding RNA is filed under the name Chloebia gouldiae (Gouldian finch). RNAcentral describes it as "Erythrura gouldiae (Gouldian finch) lncRNA (ENSEGOG00005004053.1)". Lineage: Eukaryota; Metazoa; Chordata; Aves; Passeriformes; Passeridae. The record is from RNAcentral.
GGGGCCUCACACGAGCACAGAGCUAUGUGACUUCUAGAACUCGGGGUGAUCCCCUCUGCACUCCCCUUUCUGAAAACCUGAAGGGUCUGAGCCAGUGUAACACACCCUGGCCAGGCUGUACAGAGCAUGGCUCCCUCCAAGGGCAAAGGCAAACAGACCAUUUGUUCAACUUGUCUAGAUUGUCUACAGACUCCAAAGCAAAUAGCUAAGCAUGCAUCUUGUAAAAAUGUCAUGUCCCCCUGUUUACAAGAGAUUUCUCUGUGAUAUUUGCUCAGACCAAAGGUAAAGUCACACCAGUGAAACAAACAAAAAAGGAGAAGGAAGUCACACAAAGCAGUGAAGAUUAAGGUCCCAGUCUGCACUGGCAAAUGGAGGCUGUUGGACACGGUCACGUCACCUCCCUCCCUCUCUUCAUGCAUCAAGUUAUUUGUUGCUGAGGAAAGGGACCAUUUUAACAAAGAGGGAAGGAAGGCUUCCCUGGGAGGAAGGCUUCCCUGGUCUCAGCCAGCAGUGUGUGAUGUGAUCUCUUGGCCACACAGGAUUCUCUUGUGGAACAAGGAGGUUAGGAUGUGUCUUGUCCACUCUGGAAGAGGCUAUGAUGUGCAAAUCUAUGCACAGUACAUCAGGAGCCCCCCCAAUGUCCUGAACAGCUUUCAGAGGGAUGGAUGGUGCUGAUCUCCUGGGAAAGGUGGCAGCAUCUGCAAGGGGGAGAUGACCAAAGGCUCUGCAGAUCAGGACUGCUUGCCAUUCCUGCUGCUCCCAUUACAGAGAUUCUUCUGCCACUGCGAACUAAUGAGUGCCUCGGCUUCAUCAGAUCUACAAAGGAGGAUUUGUGAUGGUUGGAAAAGCCCAAGUAAGAACAUAUGGAAGAAUGAAAAAUGAUGAAAGUUUAAAUGUCUGCCUUUACCCUCCUAUAAACCUCUUCUGUACUUGGCCAUUAUGGAUCACUUGUGGGCACGUGCCAAUUUGUUUCUUCCUCUUGUUCUUGGGUACACACAUGCACAGGGCUGAAUGUACCUGUUUAAAUUUAUGCUCAGGAACAACUCAAAGAUCAAUCACUACACAUAAGGACAGCCUUUGAGAUGCAGCGAAGAUCUCAACAUGGCCAAAUGAAAUGGAAAAAUGUAUCAGUGUGUCACUACUACUAGGAUGAAAUUUUCCUCUGGAAAUCAAAGCACAACGAAAACUCUUUAUCAGUUUCCCCAUUCUCUUCAGAAAUCUGUGGUAGCAGAUGCCUUAAACUCUCUCGUGGGUGAAGGGGAAAGGUUGGAUUACUGAAAAAACAAGGCAAGCUUCAGAGUGUGGAGGAGGCAUUAGGAACUGCUUAGGAUCUCAAACCUGCAACACCUUGAACCCAUCACCAGCCAGAACCGUGAUGGAUGGGAGAGGAUAAAGGGCAGUCUAGCUGACCCAUGAUGCCUUCCAGUGCCCUCCAAGAAACAAGAAGAAAAGAGAUUCUUAUCACUCUGUGAAAGAACAGAGGGGAAAAUUAUCAUUAAAAUGCCUUCCUAAUAAAACUAACAAACAGGAACUUUUUUUUCUUUCA